CAAAUGUGGCUUAGAUCCCGCAUUGUUGUGGCUGUGGUGUAGGCUGGUAGCUGCAGCUCCGAUUCAACCCCUAGUCUGGGAACUUCCAUAUGCCAUGGAUGUGGCCCUAAGAGGAAAAAAAAAAAAAAAAACCAACUGAAUCCCUUUCCUCCUGAUCAAAAAUCCAAUUUCCUUGAAUCAACUCAGGAAAAAAUAUAGAUUAAAUGAAUUCACAUAUGCUGGGAGUAAAAAUAACAAAUAUAUUUGUUUUUUUAAGUCAUCUCGAAGUAGUUUCAUUUUAUCACAUUGGAAUUUUCUAACAGAAAAGGGGGAGGUUAUUGUCAUGUUUUCAGUAAGGAAACUCACCUUAUAUAUCAACUAUAGCAAAUCUUCCGUAGCACAAAAUAAAUAUAGAUCAAUCUGAAAAGCAUCAUCAAUGACAGGAAGUGUGGAGAGUGAGUGAGAUCUUCCUGCCAGCUGAGCAAUGCCUCUUUUAGUCCCAGGGUAUGGAGAGGCUGACUGGGGCUGAUUGAGUGUUCCUCUGGGGGAAAACCCUCUUAAAUCAAUCCAGACUGUCAGUUUCUCUGCUUCUAAAAUUUCUAGAUCUAAGGUGUCCUCAUCAAAGCAUCCACUGCAGAAUCAGGACAGAAGAGGAGGAGAGACGACUUGAGGUGGGGGGUGGGAGGCAGAAGCAAUUCGUUUCUCUGCAUUAAGCCCGUUAUAACUCUGCCUAUAUUGCUACCUAUUACAUGUUGUAAUGUUUUCAUAGUUUCCGGCACAGCUCUGAGCAGGACCUGUCGUAGGCAUAGAUGAAGCAGACAGCUGUUCAUUCCAUAUUUACUGGCUCUCUUCCUUAUGCCAGGCACACCUGUUGUCACGAGGGCAGCAGAGAUGAGGAGAAAUACUCAUGCGCAUACAGUGUGUAAUCUGUGGGGGAGACAGACACACAAAAAACAAAUAAAAAUCAAACUACAGUUAGAAGGUUACUGUGGCAGAAUUUUGCUUAAGCUCAGCUCUUCAGAUCUAAAGGGUAAACUGGGAGUUUGUUAGUGUCAAUACGUGAGAAGGUUCUAAGGACAGGGAUCAUGUCACAGUUUAAGGAGGAACAAGACCACAUGACAAGUUCUAGAAAGUACAAGUAAUAUAGUGAGUACUGUCUGAGGGGCUAGGACAAAGUAUAACUUUGGCCUGGGAGGUAGGUCUUAAAAGACACUGUGUGCCUGCUGAAGAGCCCAGAUUUUUAUGCCUAUUGAAAAUCAUUGAAGAGAAUUACCUGGGCAAUUACCUGGAAUUAGAAGAUCACUGGCCAUAGCUGGAGAGGGAAGAGAAAAGGCAAAUAGGAAGGCCUGCACUAGAGCAGCAGAAGUGGGUUUAGGCAAGAGGGGAGAUUUAUAUGAGAUUUUCAUGGAGUGUGAUCCAUGGGACGUUGAUUUGAUUGGUCAGUGGCUGGAUGGAUGGGUGGAUAGAAGGAGGGAUGCAUGGAUGCAUGGAUGCGUGGUGAAGGAAGAAUCUAGGCUCACGCUCCAUUUUCUGGCUUGAUCACGGGGAAGAUUGGGAACACCAUUCCCAAAGUGAAUAUAGAAGAAGUAACACUUUUGAAGAACUCGUAUCAGUAAAUGCUCACAAAAUAAAACUUAAUGACAUGCAGUUUUCUCAUCGUAUAUUGAAUAAGGUAAUGUUCAUUGUAAACCAGGCAUGAAAAAUGCAGUCAUUAUUGAAUAAUUACCAUAACUAUAAAAGGGGUAAACAUUUUAUGUAGAGUAAUAAAUUUCACGAAGCUGGUGAGAGUGGUAAGCUUGUGAUUGAUAGAAGUGGCUCCAACGUAGGCAAAGAGUCAGAGAAAGAAAUUAGUUCUGGGGGGUGGGGGGAGAGAAUCAGGAAAGGCUCCUAGAGGAGGUAGCAUUGGAGUAGAAUAAUGAAGGGUGAAUAGGGUGGGUGAUACUUGUGACGAGCCUUGCAGUGUAGCCGCCAAGGGCACUGACAGUGGGGGCUUCAGGGACAAGCUUGCUGACAUCUGGUUCCAUUGUUCUGAAAGGGAAUUCAAGAAUCUACGCUUUUGGCAAGUACCUCCAGGUGACUUUUAGGCAGAAUACAGUCUACUUUACUGAACUCUUAAAUUUUAAAUUUCCUGACAACGCCGGAUCCUUAGCCCACUGAGGGAGGCCAGGGAUCAAACCCACAACCUCAUGGUUCCUAAUCGAAUUCAUUAACCACUGAGCCACGACGGGAACUCCAGUGUCUUUUUUUCUGUUUCAGGAUCUCAUACAGUCUAACACAUUGCAUCUAGUUAUCCUCUCUCCUUGGCUGUGACCGUUUCUCUGACUUUGCUUGGUUUCAAUGAACUUGAACUUGACGUUUUUAGGGGGCACCCGUUAGGUAUUUUGCAGAGUGUCCUAUCCCUGCAAUCUACCUGCUGUUUUUCUCAUGAUGAGACUGUGAUUCUAUAUUGUUGGAAGAAAGAACAAUGAGGUGAAGUGCCGCUCUCAGCACAUCAUCUGAAGGCUGCUGCCAGCAGCCCUCCUGAUCAUCCCCUGGCUGGGUCGGCAUUUGUCAGGUUUCUCUGCUGUGAAGUUACUCUUCUCCCCCUUUCUACACCACGCUCUCGGGGAGGAAGUCACUGUGGGUAGAUCACACUUAGAGAGUAGGGAGUUAAAAUAGAAGAAGGUAGAAUUUUGUCUUCAGAGAGAAGGGAAUUAAAUCGAUAAAAUAAACAAAAGAAGCUCUGCUCCUUGGGUGAUGAUAAACUAGCCCUGGGAACUCUUAGAAUAAUAAACAGUCUCUUAAGGAAAUGAGCAGAGUUUCACUAAGACAUUUCCAGCUGAGAGGUUCUUUAUGGUUUUCCUUUUCAUUGGAAAGAAGCCAAUCAGCUAUGACACUUUUGCCAUUUUUUUUUUUAACAAAUCUGUCUUAUUCUUAGAGGAAGUUGAUGUGUAUUUGUUAAGACAUAUGGAUGUGGUCAGUGAAAAUUUCCAAACCCAAUCAAUUUGUUUCCAAACCUUCACAGGGAACUUUUGCACAUCUACAAACAAAAUGCAGAGAAACCAAUGCGCUUACCUCGGGAAUUUACUGUUGCUAUAACCCCUGAGUUAAUGACCCCAAAUACAAAGCAGCAAUUCAACCUCCUCCCCCUGUCAUACACUUUGCAAGUCUUUAUGAUUAAAGGGAAUCUUAACAUAAAUAAUGCAUGGUCCAUAACAUAGUACAGCAAAUUGCAUUUUAAAUAUUCAUGCAAUUCUUUUAAAAAAUAAAACCACAAAUUGCAAUUCAGACUGAGGCUUCUGAAGGGGAAUUCAUUCGUUCCACAAAUGUAUGAAUGAGUCUCGAUAGCGUUGAAAUGAAUUUAUAGAAGGAUUUUCCAUCGGUUUCUGCCCUUCUGGAUCCCUUCAGCGUAGUUUAUGAGAGUAGUGCAGAGCAUAUGAGUUUCUGAAACCUAGAGAAUGUGGUGUGCUUGGCUCAGAUAUGGUAGAUUUGUCUUCAAGCAAUCUGUUGUGACUUUAGAGAGGAUAUCUGUUCCUUCAUUCUUCAAACAUAGUGAUGUAAUUUACCAGACCAGUAUAGAAACGGCUUUGGGUAUUGAUUUAGAGCUUAGAUGGAUAACCUGCUUUGGAGCUUGUUUGCUCUGAUGCCUGCUUUAAGAACGAGUAUUUUCAAAAUGUUUGGUUUAAAGUGUAUUGAGCAGGAAAAUAACAGCACGGGAUUUUACCAGAAAGCAUUCCUAAAAGCUUCCAUUUAAAAAUGAAAAGCCGGCUUCCUAAACAUGGGUUCAAAAUUGAUGUGUCUCAGUUGUCAUUAGUAAAAUACAUGUCCCUGAGAAAUAGAAUUUUGUGAAUGUUCAUACAAAAAAAAAAAAUUUAGGGAAUUCUAAGAAUUUAUGAGCAUAAUUAAAUCAUCAAGAAGGUUUUUGGAACAUGGUAAAUUUUAUCUCACCAUAGAUCAACAAAAUGUUCUGACAUCAAGAAAAUUAAAUUUUGCCUAUGCCUUGAAAUAUAUCAAUAAAGCAAAAUUCACUGUGCUCUUAGAUAUUAAAAAGCCUAAAAUAUGGUAGGUGAAACCCAUAUUUAUAUUCAGUGUUGGGAUUUUUCUUAGUACAAUACUUGAGUUCACACUGCUGCAAACCAUGGUAAACGUGUAUGUCUUAUAAACGGAAUGACUGUAAAUCCAAGGGCAUUAUGCCAGUAAUGGAUACAAUAAAAAUCUACCUACCAAAAAAAGUGUUCUUCUGGAACUCAGAAUUGGCCUCUUUGGGUCUGCCCCAAUGGGUUAUACAUAAGAAAGUGUAACUAAUAACAUGACUGGUUUAUAGGCUGAGUUUGGGAACACCCAAACCUGUAUCUGCCAACACAAAACCCUUGGAAGCACUGCCACUGUCAACGGGCUCGCUUCUUCUCAUUCGCCUCCAUUCGUUCCACAAAUAUUUAUUGAAUAGCUACUAUUUAACAUGCUGUGUUCUGGUAACUUGAGGCACACCAAGGACCAUCACAGACCAGUACCCCUGCACUCUUGAAGCUUAUAAUCCUUGACCAUUACAAAACACCUCCUUAUCUUGAGCUGAAAUCUGAAUUCCUCCUGCCCUCAUUAGAAAAAGAAGUUGAGGAGUUCCCGUCGUGAUGCAGCAGAAAUGAAUCCAACUAGCAUCCAUGAGGACGCAGGUUCGAUCCCUGGCCAUGCUCAGUGGGUUAAGGAUCUGGUGUUGCCGUGAGCUGUGGUGUGGGUUGCAGAGGCCGCUCGGAUCCGGCAUUGCUCUGGCUGUGGUGUGGACCGGUGGCUACAGCUCCAAUUCAACCCCUAGACUGGGAACCUACAUAUGCCGUGG
This 4792-nucleotide long non-coding RNA is filed under the name Sus scrofa (pig). RNAcentral describes it as "lncRNA (ENSSSCG00025020337.1)". Lineage: Eukaryota; Metazoa; Chordata; Mammalia; Artiodactyla; Suidae. The record is from RNAcentral.